GAUGAACGCUGGCGGCGUGCCUAACACAUGCAAGUCGAACGAAGCAAUUAAGAUGAAGUUUUCGGAUGGAAUCUUGAUUGACUGAGUGGCGGACGGGUGAGUAACGCGUGGAUAACCUGCCUCACACUGGGGGAUAACAGUUAGAAAUGACUGCUAAUACCGCAUAAGCGCACAGUGCCGCAUGGCAGUGUGUGAAAAACUCCGGUGGUGUGAGAUGGAUCCGCGUCUGAUUAGCCAGUUGGCGGGGUAACGGCCCACCAAAGCGACGAUCAGUAGCCGACCUGAGAGGGUGACCGGCCACAUUGGGACUGAGACACGGCCCAAACUCCUACGGGAGGCAGCAGUGGGGAAUAUUGCACAAUGGGCGAAAGCCUGAUGCAGCGACGCCGCGUGAGUGAAGAAGUAUUUCGGUAUGUAAAGCUCUAUCAGCAGGGAAGAAAAUGACGGUACCUGACUAAGAAGCCCCGGCUAACUACGUGCCAGCAGCCGCGGUAAUACGUAGGGGGCAAGCGUUAUCCGGAUUUACUGGGUGUAAAGGGAGCGUAGACGGCGAAGCAAGUCUGAAGUGAAAACCCAGGGCUCAACCCUGGGACUGCUUUGGAAACUGUUUUGCUAGAGUGUCGGAGAGGUAAGUGGAAUUCCUAGUGUAGCGGUGAAAUGCGUAGAUAUUAGGAGGAACACCAGUGGCGAAGGCGGCUUACUGGACGAUAACUGACGUUGAGGCUCGAAAGCGUGNGGAGCAAACAGG
Molecule: ribosomal RNA, 748 nt
Filed under: uncultured bacterium
Lineage: Bacteria
Description: bacterial SSU rRNA
Rfam family: Bacterial small subunit ribosomal RNA
Source: RNAcentral